This 253-nucleotide ribosomal RNA is filed under the name uncultured bacterium. Its description in RNAcentral is "partial 16S ribosomal RNA". It matches the Rfam family "Bacterial small subunit ribosomal RNA", at positions 524 to 776 of the family's 1533-position model. The record is from RNAcentral.
GACGAACCGUGCGAACGUUGUUCGGAAUCACUGGGCGUAAAGGGUGCGUAGGCGGUCGGGUAAGUCUGACGUGAAAUCUUCAAGCUCAACUUGGAAACUGCGUCCGAUACUAUUCGGCUAGAGGAAUGGAGGGGAGACUGGAAUACUUGGUGUAGCAGUGAAAUGCGUAGAUAUCAAGUGGAACACCAGUGGCGAAGGCGAGUCUCUGGACAUUUCCUGACGCUGAGGCACGAAAGCCAGGGGAGCAAACGGG